AUCUAGAGGAAUGGAUGAAGGAUUUGACCAUUCAGCUUCUAUUCUGAACUCUAACCCACAAAGAAGUCCGGGAUGAUUUGCCUAAAGCAGAUGCAAUUUGGCCCAAUUGAAAGAACUCUGGAUUUGAAGUCAGAGAACAUGUGAGAUCUUCAGCAUCCCAAUUGCUGGAACGAAGAAGAGGCGAUUUGUCCAGAGGAAAGCUGAGUAUGGUUUCAGCAAGGAACUUCAGGCUAAGCCCAUUUGGAAGCAAAUCUCUCCUGAAAGAAAUGAAGAGCUUUCAAUGGGGUGUGGAGAAGGGAGAAGAGUAGUCACUGGGAAAGGACAAUGAUGUGAAAAAAUAUCAUCAAUAAAAUUUUUUUUCAAAGAAUUUAUUUAAAUAUGAGAAUACUUGUAUAUAGUGAUACAGAAUAAGAAAAGCAGAGCCAAAAGGAUAUCAGUGAAAAAAAUCAUAAUGCUAUCCUACCUCCUAACAGAGAUUAUAUUUUCAAGCUAAAAAAUAAAACAUACAUGUGAACAAGAAUAAUGUGGGAGUUUGUUUUACUUGACUAUUUGUUAGAAGGGUUUUGUUUUUCUAUUUUUUUUCUAUUCAAAGGUGAUGAAUUGAGGGAAAAUUGUUAAUUGAAAAAAUGAAUUUUUAUUUUUAAAUCAUAGAAUCAUGUAUUUAGAAU
Molecule: long non-coding RNA, 668 nt
Organism: Monodelphis domestica (gray short-tailed opossum)
Lineage: Eukaryota; Metazoa; Chordata; Mammalia; Didelphimorphia; Didelphidae
Source: RefSeq, a predicted model, not a curated record